This 1539-nucleotide long non-coding RNA is filed under the name Ficedula albicollis (Collared flycatcher). Its description in RNAcentral is "lncRNA (ENSFALG00000023431.1)". Lineage: Eukaryota; Metazoa; Chordata; Aves; Passeriformes; Muscicapidae. The record is from RNAcentral.
AUGCUUAUUUUGAUUUGCAAAGUGAUUGGAUUUUUCCAGGGCAUUUUGAAAGGAAAAAAGUCUGAAUUUAAUUAUCACUAUUCCAAAAAGCACCAUGGGACUGAGUGUUUGAGGUCGUCUCAUGUUUGCUUCACACCCCGCUCCAAAAUGCAGACGGGCUGCGGGGACGUGGUGGGACGUGGUGAGGGUGUCCUGCUGUGUCCCACUCCCGCUGUCAGGCCAGUCCCAGCUCCUGCCCAGUCCCAGCUCCUGGCCAUUCCCAGCUCCCGGCCAUUCCCAGCUCCUGCCCAGUCCCAGCUCCUGGCCAUUCCCAGCUCCCGGCCAUUCCCAGCUCCUGCCCAGUCCCAGCUCCUGGCCAUUCCCAGCUCCCGGCCAUUCCCAGCUCCUGCCCAGUCCCAGCUCCUGGCCAUUCCCAGCUCCCGGCCAUUCCCAGCUCCUGCCCAGUCCCAGCUCCUGGCCAUUCCCAGCUCCCGGCCAUUCCCAGCUCCUGCCCAGUCCCAGCUCCUGGCCAUUCCCAGCUCCCGGCCAUUCCCAGCUCCUGCCCAGUCCCAGCUCCUGGCCAUUCCCAGCUCCCGGCCAUUCCCAGCUCCUGCCCAGUCCCAGCUCCUGGCCAUUCCCAGCUCCCGGCCAUUCCCAGCUCCUGCCCAGUCCCAGCUCCUGGCCAUUCCCAGCUCCCGGCCAUUCCCAGCUCCUGCCCAGUCCCAGCUCCUGGCCAUUCCCAGCUCCCGGCCAUUCCCAGCUCCUGCCCAGUCCCAGCUCCUGGCCAUUCCCAGCUCCCGGCCAUUCCCAGCUCCUGCCCAGUCCCAGCUCCUGGCCAUUCCCAGCUCCCGGCCAUUCCCAGCUCCUGCCCAGUCCCAGCUCCUGGCCAUUCCCAGCUCCCGGCCAUUCCCAGCUCCUGCCCAUUCCCAGCUCCUGGCCAUUCCCAUCUCCCGGCCAUUCCCAGCUCCCGGCCAUUCCCGGCUCCUGCCCAGUCCCAGCUCCUGGCCAUUCCCAGCUCCCGGCCAUUCCCAGCUCCUGCCCAUUCCCAGCUCCUGGCCAUUCCCAUCUCCCGGCCAUUCCCAGCUCCCGGCCAUUCCCGGCUCCUGCCCAGUCCCAGCUCCUGGCCAUUCCCAGCUCCCGGCCAUUCCCAGCUCCUGCCCAUUCCCAGCUCCUGGCCAUUCCCAUCUCCCGGCCAUUCCCAGCUCCCGGCCAUUCCCGGCUCCUGCCCAGUCCCAGCUCCUGGCCAUUCCCAGCUCCCGGCCAUUCCCAGCUCCUGCCCAUUCCCAGCUCCUGGCCAUUCCCAUCUCCCGGCCAUUCCCAGCUCCCGGCCAUUCCCGGCUCCUGCCCAGUCCCAGCUCCUGGCCAUUCCCAGCUCCCGGCCAUUCCCAGCUCCUGCCCAUUCCCAGCUCCUGGCCAUUCCCAUCUCCCGGCCAUUCCCAGCUCCCGGCCAUUCCCGGCUCCUGCCCAGUCCCAGCUCCUGGCCAUUCCCAGCUCCCGGCCAUUCCCAGCUCCUGGCCAUUCCCAGCUCCCGGCCAUUCCCAACACGGGCAGUCAGAAUGA